Eucalyptus grandis is the source of this 604-nucleotide RNA transcript. RefSeq lists it as uncharacterized. The transcript is spliced from 7 exons. The record is from RefSeq and is a predicted model, not a curated record. NCBI's taxonomy places the organism in Eukaryota, Viridiplantae, Streptophyta, Magnoliopsida, Myrtales, Myrtaceae.
CAUGCUGUUCGGCUAAAGUUCUUUCAAUGUGCAGCCAUAUUUUAGUGAAUGUUGUGAUACCUCCUGCUGCAGAUUUCAAAACAGGAAUUCUUGAACACCAUCCAAGGCAAUAUGUUGCUCUAAGAUUGAUGUAUUUUGGACAAAGGUUUUAUGGUUUUGCCUCUGAAGCACAAUUGGAUCCAACUGUCGAGUCUGAAAUUUUAAAGCUCUUGAGAAGACUAAGCUUUUAGUUGGUGACAAGAAAAAGUCACAGUACUCAAGAUGUGGCAGAACAGACAAAGGAGUUUCAUCUUUUGGACAAGUCAUUUCCCUGUUUCUACGAUCAAACCUGCGACCUAAGAACACAGAUGAUGCAAACAAUUGGGGACUUUCUAUAGAUAGAGAUGUCUUAGACGCGGAAAUUGAUUAUGUGAGAGUGUUGAAUCGAGUCUUACCCAAAGAUAUCCGAGUAACUGGCUGGUGUCCUGUUCCAAUUGAUUUUAGUGCAAGGUUUAGCUGUAUGAGCAGGGAGUACAAAUAUUUCUUUUGGAGAGAUAAUUUGGAUAUUAGGGCAAUGGAGAGUGCAGGCCAAAAGUUUGUGGGGGAUCAUGAUUUCAGAAAUUUU